UACCAGCACCCCGAGUGGUCGGGACGAUUAUUGGGCCUAAAGCAUCCGUAGCCGGUUCUACAAGUCUUCCGUUAAAUCCACCUGCUCAACAGUUGGGCUGCGGAGGAUACUAUAGAGCUAGGAGGCGGGAGAGGCAAGCGGUACUUAGUGGGUAGGGGUAAAAUCCGUUGAUCCAUUGAAGACCACCAGUGGCGAAGGCGGCUUGCCAGAACGCACUCGACGGUGAGGGAUGAAAGCUGGGGGAGCAAACAGG
Molecule: ribosomal RNA, 253 nt
Filed under: uncultured bacterium
Lineage: Bacteria
Description: partial 16S ribosomal RNA
Rfam family: Archaeal small subunit ribosomal RNA
Source: RNAcentral